CUACGGGGGGCUGCAGUGAGGAAUUUUGCGCAAUGGGGGAAACCUUGACGCAGCAACGCCGCGUGAGUGAUGAAGGCCUUCGGGUCGUAAAACUCUGUCAAGUGGGAAGAACCUAUGUAAGGUUAAUACCCUUAUGUACUGACGGUACCACUGAAGGAAGCACCGGCUAACUCCGUGCCAGCAGCCGCGGUAAUACGGAGGGUGGCAGCGUUAUUCGGAAUUAUUGGGCGUAAAGGGCGCGCAGGCGGUUUUGUAAGUCAGAUGUGAAAGCCCGGGGCUUAACCUCGGAAGUGCAUUUGAUACUGCAAGACUUGAGUAUGGGAGGGGGAAGUGGAAUUCCUGGUGUAGAGGUGAAAUUCGUAGAUAUCAGGAGGAACACCAGUGGCGAAGGCGACUUCCUGGACCAAUACUGACGCUGAGGCGCGAAGGCGUGGGGAGCAAACAGGAUUAGAUACCCCUGUAGUC
Molecule: ribosomal RNA, 465 nt
Filed under: uncultured bacterium
Lineage: Bacteria
Description: partial 16S ribosomal RNA
Rfam family: Bacterial small subunit ribosomal RNA
Source: RNAcentral